Cygnus atratus (black swan) is the source of this 465-nucleotide RNA transcript. It is a transcript of the gene named ribosomal protein S28, with no coding region annotated. The record is from RefSeq and is a predicted model, not a curated record. The transcript has 4 exons. Lineage: Eukaryota; Metazoa; Chordata; Aves; Anseriformes; Anatidae.
AGACUUGGCGCUAGAUAAAGCGGAGCGGCGGGACCGCCCCCUCCCUUCCUGAGCCGCGGAGCCGCCAUGGACACGAGCCGCGUGCAGCCCAUCAAGCUGGCCAGGGUGACCAAGGUGCUGGGCCGGACCGGCUCCCAGGGGCAGUGCACGCAGGUGCGCGUGGAGUUCAUGGACGACACGAGCCGCUCCAUCAUCCGCAACGUGAAGGGCCCGGUGCGCGAGGGCGAUGUCCUCACCCUGCUCGAGUCCGAGCGCGAGGCCCGGCGGCUGCGUUGAGCCGGUGGGUGCCCCGCUCCCCGGUCCUGAGCCGGUGGGUGCCCCGCUCCCCGGUCCUGAGCCGGUGACGAAGACUUGUCCCGUGUACUCGGAGCCACCAGCGUGCAUCAUCUCAGCUGGAUGCAGGUCACAGAUGGAGAGGAGCAUGGCGUUUGUGUUGUUCACACAAUAAAGGUUUUUUUUUCCAAA